Molecule: ribosomal RNA, 248 nt
Filed under: uncultured bacterium
Lineage: Bacteria
Description: partial small subunit ribosomal RNA
Rfam family: Bacterial small subunit ribosomal RNA
Source: RNAcentral
AGAAUCAACGCUGGCGGCGUGCCUAACACAUGCAAGUCGAACGAGAAAGUGGGAGCAAUCCCACGAGUAAAGUGGCGCACGGGUGAGUAACACGUGACUAACCUACCCUUGAGUGGGGGAUAACCUAGGGAAACCUGGGCGUAAUACCGCAUAAUACCUACGGGUCAAAGGAGCAAUUCGCUUAAGGAGGGGUCGCGGCAGGAUUAGUUAGUUGGCGGGGUAAUGGCCCACCAAGACAGUGAUCUGUA